Molecule: long non-coding RNA, 1037 nt
Filed under: Notechis scutatus (mainland tiger snake)
Lineage: Eukaryota; Metazoa; Chordata; Lepidosauria; Squamata; Elapidae
Description: lncRNA (ENSNSUG00000017782.1)
Source: RNAcentral
AUUGUUGAUAUUCUCCCUAUUAAUGACAGCUGUAAAUUUUCCCAUUUCGCCAAAUCUUUAUUUCACAAGUGGAUUAAGGUUUAGAAGAACCUGAAGAUUUUGAAUUGCUUAAAAUGAGUAGGAAAUUUACAGCUCCUGGUUCUUCAACUUCUACUUCUUCCUCUCCACCAUCUGGAGGACAACGUUCAAUACAGACAAUGUUAAAGCAAGAAAAAGAACAAGAAAAAGUGACUCUGCAGAUGAUUAUGCAAGGAAUUCAAAAUAUUCAAGCAAGAUCAGAGAACAUUGAACAAAGAUCAGAGAACAUUGAACAAAGAACAGAGAACAUUGAACAAAGAACAGGGAAAACCGAUGAAAAAGUGGAGAACAUCCAACAAAUGAUGUUGAAGUAUGAUGAGAGAUUCCAAAAAAUUGAAGAAGAAGAUAAACAAAGAGACAAGAAAAUUGGAGAUAUUGAUAAUAGAUUAACGGUGGUUGAACAAGAUAAAAGUGGUAUGUUGAGAUGGGAGAUGGAUAGAUCAGAAUUCUAUCUUAGAUUCCAAAAUGUAGAGGAAGAAAAAGGACAAAACUUAGCUGAGAUAAUGAUAGAAAUAUUGGCUGAAGCUUUGGAAAUAACUCAAGAGAAGAUGAUGGAUGGAAUAGAUGAGGUUUAUCGAGUUUUCACAAGAUAUGCAAUGAGAAAUAGCUUACCAAGAGAAGUUCACAUUAGAUUUACAAAGAAAGCCAUUAAAACGCAAAUAUUGCAAGUGGCAAAAGAGAAAACAUUGAAAUACAAAGACAAGGAGAUUGUGGUCUUGAAACAAAUACACAGAAGAGUGAGAGAGAUGAGAAGAGAAUACCGAUUCCUGACUAAAAUGCUACUUAAAAAAGAGGUGAAUUAUAGAUGGCUGAUUCCAGAAGGUUUAAUGUUCACAUGGCAAGAACAGAGACAUAGAAUUGACUCAAUUGAGAAAGCGGAAUUAUUUUAUACAGAAUUUUUUGGAGGGAAAGAGGAAAAGGCAGAAAAAGAGAUCUCACUAAUUGAAUUCCAAGAGGAC